GGCCGUGUGGCGAAAUGGCAUCGCGUCUGACUACGACUCUCAUACUUAUGAUUGUUAUCAGGAGAUUGCAGGUUCGACCCCUGUCUCGGUCA
Blastosporella zonata is the source of this 92-nucleotide non-coding RNA. Lineage: Eukaryota; Fungi; Basidiomycota; Agaricomycetes; Agaricales; Lyophyllaceae. The record is from the annotation of a GenBank genome assembly.